GACGAACGCUGGCGGCGUGCUUAACACAUGCAAGUCGAACGAUGAAGCUACAGCUUGCUGUGGUGGAUUAGUGGCGAACGGGUGAGUAAUACGUGAGUAACCUGCCCUUGUCUUUGGGAUAAGCCUGGGAAACUGGGUCUAAUACCGGAUAUUCUGCUUUCAUCGCAUGGUGGGGGUUGGAAAGGGUUUCUGGAUAGGGAUGGGCUCACGGCCUAUCAGCUUGUUGGUGGGGUGAUGGCCUACCAAGGCGUCGACGGGUAGCCGGCCUGAGAGGGUGACCGGCCACAUUGGGACUGAGAUACGGCCCACACUCCUACGGGAGGCAGCAGUGGGGAAUAUUGCACAAUGGACGCAAGUCUGAUGCAGCGACGCCGCGUGGGGGAUGAAGGCUUUCGGGUUGUAAACUCCUUUCAGUACAGAACAAGGCCUUUUUGGUUGAGGGUAUGUGCAGAAGAAGCGCCGGCUAACUACGUGCCAGCAGCCGCGGUAAUACGUAGGGCGCGAGCGUUGUCCGGAAUUAUUGGGCGUAAAGCGAGCGCAGGCGGUUCUUUAAGUCUGAAGUUAAAGGCAGUGGCUCAACCAUUGUACGCUUUGGAAACUGGAGAACUUGAGUGCAGAAGGGGAGAGUGGAAUUCCAUGUGUAGCGGUGAAAUGCGUAGAUAUAUGGAGGAACACCGGUGGCGAAAGCGGCUCUCUGGUCUGUAACUGACGCUGAGGCUCGAAAGCGUGGGGAGCAAACAGGAUUAGAUACCCUGGUAGUCCACGCCGUAAACGAUGAGUGCUAGGUGUUAGGCCCUUUCCGGGGCUUAGUGCCGGAGCUAACGCAUUAAGCACUCCGCCUGGGGAGUACGACCGCAAGGUUGAAACUCAAAGGAAUUGACGGGGGCCCGCACAAGCGGUGGAGCAUGUGGUUUAAUUCGAAGCAACGCGAAGAACCUUACCAGGUCUUGACAUCCUCCUGACCGGUCUAGAGAUAGGCUUUCCCUUCGGGGCAGGAGUGACAGGUGGUGCAUGGUUGUCGUCAGCUCGUGUCGUGAGAUGUUGGGUUAAGUCCCGCAACGAGCGCAACCCCUAUUGUUAGUUGCCAUCAUUAAGUUGGGCACUCUAGCGAGACUGCCGGUAAUAAACCGGAGGAAGGUGGGGAUGACGUCAAAUCAUCAUGCCCCUUAUGACCUGGGCUACACACGUGCUACAAUGGUUGGUACAACGAGUCGCAAGCCGGUGACGGCAAGCUAAUCUCUUAAAGCCAAUCUCAGUUCGGAUUGUAGGCUGCAACUCGCCUACAUGAAGUCGGAAUCGCUAGUAAUCGCAGAUCAGCACGCCGCGGUGAAUACGUUCUCGGGCC
RNAcentral lists this ribosomal RNA (1345 nucleotides) under uncultured bacterium. RNAcentral's name for it is "partial 16S ribosomal RNA". It matches the Rfam family "Bacterial small subunit ribosomal RNA", at positions 28 to 1380 of the family's 1533-position model. The record is from RNAcentral.